This is a long non-coding RNA of Schistocerca gregaria, 923 nucleotides long. RefSeq lists it as uncharacterized. The transcript has 2 exons. Lineage: Eukaryota; Metazoa; Arthropoda; Insecta; Orthoptera; Acrididae. The record is from RefSeq and is a predicted model, not a curated record.
CUACCUCAUCAAUAAAUAGAGAUAUAUAAGAAUAAUCAUACUACGUCUACGAAGUGUCAGUAUCAUGCUGCUGCUUCAAAUCCAAAGUGGUGUCUUGGUGAGAAUUGAUUUAUUGAGUGUCGAAGUAGACAUGUUGAUAAAAAGAUUGUCCCAAUAAUUACGUGUAAACCAUGGAAUCCUGUUGCAACAAAGAAUGUUGAUCCAUAAACUGCAUCUGCAAUGGUAAAAGGUGCUUCUCAAUAUUCAUAUGCUUGAAGUAUUGUAAAGUAUAGUCCUAAUAACACUGUGAAGAAUAAUCCUUGUAGUGCUUGAGUAUGAUUAGAUUCUAUUAAACUAUGAUGUGCUCAUGUUACUGUUACUCCUGAUGCUAAAAGAAUAGCUGUAUUAAGUAAUGGAAUUUGUAUAGUGUUGAAGGGUUGACUUCCUAUUGGAGGUCAUAGUAUUCCUAGUUCAAUUGUUGGUGCUAAUCUUCUUCUAAAGAAUGCUCAAAAAAAAAAAAAAAAAGAAACGAAAAAUAAUACCUCUGAUGCAAUAAAUAAAAUUAUUCCUCAUCGUAAUCCAAUUGAUACAAAUCCUGUAUGUAAUCCUUGAUAUGUUCCUUCUCGGACUACAUCUCGUCAUCAUUGAAUUAUGGUUAGUAGGGUAAUUCCAAAUCCAAUUAUGAAUAAGUUAAUAUUAAAUAGGUGGAAUCAUUUUGCUAGUCCUGAUACUAGGACUAUUGCUUCAAUUGCUCCUGUUAGUGGUCAAGGUCUAUAGUCUACUAAGUGGAAUGGGUGGAAUCAUUUUGCUAGUCCUGAUACUAGGACUAUUGCUCCAAUUGCUCCUGUUAGUGGUCAAGGUCUAUAGUCUACUAAGUGGAAUGGGUGGUUUGAGUGAGUUGUUAACAUAGGUUUAAUAUACUUCUCUAGAAUAUAGAGUUCUUA